AAUUUAAGGAAGAAUUUAAAAAAGGAAUCUCUUCAAUUAUGUAAUAAAUUGUCUCGAGAUUUCCACCAGAAAUCUCACAAACGAAGUGAUACAGUUUCUGGGAAAACGAAUCAAGGGACGUUGUAAGCGGGUGCAGAAUUGGCAAGAAAGAAGAAGAAAGGCAGCACGGAAUGUAAUAUCCAAUGGAUGGGUAAUAAAAAUUGACACGCGAGCGUCUGGGACGGUUUCUAUCCUGUUUUAUGGUUCAAUUCGACGAUGGUCGUAUACCACCUCGUGGCUGUUCGCGGUUCUGUGGCUGCGUGACGUUUACUACUACCACGCUGACACACAGUCGUUGACAUAAAUCAUCCUCGAGUUGACCCCUUUUUAAUCGCCAUUACACAACGUGCACGAGAAAACGCCUGAUGAAACCGCAACGUUUCACGUUCCAUAUGGCGGCUCUGCGAAGACACCUUCAGCUUUGGAAGUUCGGAGAUUAGAAAUCUAGGAAAUUUGGGAUCUUGAAAUUCUGGAAAUUCGAGAGAUUGAGAAUUGUAAUUUGGAAGAAUAUGCAAUAAUUUCCUGUUACCUGAAUGUGCACCCUCACCGCCCACAAGCUUCACGGCGCCCUCCUGUUUCUUCAAUUUCCGGAAGUCCUUGCGCAGCUUCUUCACCAUACGCGCCUUCUUCUCCCGAAUCUUGUCCCAGGUGCUAUUAAACCCAAGACACACAUCUGGCAAAAUUAACAUAGUCAAGAACCCAAGAAAAAUGAACCUUCUCCACUUCAUCAUCGACCCCGGUCACUCAACCACUAACAUAAUCUAAGUAUCACGAGAGACUGGUUACGUUGAUCACGCGAUGGAAUAUCCAAUCUUUGCUCCAGCUGGAAGGCGAGAGCGAUCUCGAAGAGUUACGCGUCUACAGUGGAACACUUUGGACGAUCAGCACAUGGUAGAUCGCUUUUUCUAGCCUCCCUUCCUUUUCCUUCUCGACGUGGGAUCCGAUGGAUCCAUUCGACAGCUUACGUUGAGUCAGUCUGAUGGAAUUGGCAGAUUUCCUCCAUUUCAUUGAUUCAGAUGUUACAAGGACUUUUAGCGAGAUUAAUUUAAUAUACGGACUCCAUUUAUAGCUGCUGAUCAUUCUGUUAAUUGCGGAAGAGGACUUGAUUCAGCGACUCAACUAUAAUUUUUCAAUAUUCUUUUACGUUGCUGAAGUUUACUUCUGACAAGAUCCCUCUUCGACUCAAACGUUCCAGGAUGAUGAAGCUUUCAGGAUUUUUCGAAUUCCUUCCAAAGUUUUGAGUGUUUACUAUCGUUUAUCAUGUUACAUGGUCCAUCGACUGUAUUUAGUCGAAAGAUAAGGCCUGUAAACACCUCAUACAUUGUACCCGAUGAUUCAAAAAGCGAGCACGGGGUUUUUUCUCGGACGAAUCCAACAUCUCGAGUAUCAUCCGUCAGCGGCGAGCAAGGCAAUUCGAUCUGAAGAAAAAGAUCCGAAGCUUAGAAGAAAGCCAUGGUGGCCUGUGGAGUGUGGUUCUCGUUACUCGAUACACCGGUCUCCUAUCGUUUGCAUAAUCGUGGGUCACCGAUCGUUUAUACUGUGGACGCGGUCAAAAAUUGCUAGCCUUAUUAUCAGAUUUCCAAUAAUCAAAUGUUUGUGAACUAUGAAUGAAUUUAACUAUUAAUGAAAUCUUAAUGAGAUGUUCAGAAAAUACUAAUGAGAUGCUCCAGACUAGGAUAAUCGAGAGGUAACAACGUGUAAGAUAUUGAAGAAAGAAGAGGUUGAAUAUCAUAGAUAGGUCGGAUGGUUGGCUUCGCUCAAACUUUU
This 1806-nucleotide long non-coding RNA is filed under the name Megachile rotundata (alfalfa leafcutting bee). RNAcentral's name for it is "uncharacterized LOC105661960, transcript variant X2". Lineage: Eukaryota; Metazoa; Arthropoda; Insecta; Hymenoptera; Megachilidae. The record is from RNAcentral.